Molecule: non-coding RNA, 46 nt
Organism: Nelumbo nucifera (sacred lotus)
Lineage: Eukaryota; Viridiplantae; Streptophyta; Magnoliopsida; Proteales; Nelumbonaceae
Source: Rfam
ACUAGGGUUCUUUUGAGAACCAUACAUCAUUGCAAAAAAAAAAAAA